Molecule: ribosomal RNA, 446 nt
Filed under: uncultured bacterium
Lineage: Bacteria
Description: SSU rRNA
Rfam family: Bacterial small subunit ribosomal RNA
Source: RNAcentral
AGAGCGAACGCUGGCGGCAGGCCUAACACAUGCAAGUCGAGCGCUCGUAGCAAUACGAGAGCGGCAGACGGGAGAGUAACACGUGGGAACGUACCCUUUGGUUCGGAACAACACAGGGAAACUUGUGCUAAUACCGAAUAAGCCCUUACGGGGAAAGAUUUAUCGCCGAAGGAUCGGCCCGCGUCUGAUUAGCUAGUUGGCGGGGUAAUGGCUCACCAAGGCGACGAUCAGUAGCUGGUCUGAGAGGAUGACCAGCCUCAUUGGGACUGAGACACGGCCCAAACUCCUACGGGAGGCAGCAGUGGGGAAUAUUGGACAAUGGGCGCAAGCCUGAUCCAGCCAUGCCGCGUGGAUGAUGAAGGCCUUAGGGUUGUAAAGUCCUUUAACGGGGAAGAUAAUGACGGUACCCGUAGAAUAAGCCCGGCUAACUUCGUGCCAGCAGCCGC